CCAAUAUAACCGAGCCCUAAUCUUCGCAAGUGUUGACGGUCGGUUUUCAUCAAACCAUAAUAUAUACAGUCACGAACUUCCUUCCCCCCAAAACUCCCCCAGACUCUUCUUCUCCCCUUGAACCCUAAUGCACGCGGCAAAACUCAUGACGGCAAACCUCACGGCGGCAACCCCCACUUCUCACCUAACCGGCGGCAACCCUCUUCUCACCUAAGCGGCGACUACAAUUGAGCCUUCUCCUCUCCUAACCCUAAUACCAGCUCUGAUGGUAACGAUGGCGAAAUCGCCACAAGCCAACGUCGGCUAUAGCAGUGGAAAACCGCCACAGAUCCAGGAACCUAAAGCCAAAAUCACCCUUCACAAGAAACUAAGACGACACCGACCUUCGGUUUAGCGAACACAAGGCGUUGGAUUUAUGGUUCUGGUCACAAUAGAAGGGUUUAAGAGCUAUAAAAAACAAGUUACGACCAAAGACUUCAGCCUUAAAGUUAACUGUGGUGUUAUGGGAAAAAGAUGGGAAGCUUCCGCAAAUAAAAAUUGAUGAAUUAGUCUUAAAUUUAAUGCCGGAAUUGAUUCACAAGGCGUUUGAUGGCCCAGAAUGAAAUCGUGGAAAGUGCCACAAGGUUGUUUCUACGAAUCAGUUUGCAAAGUUUGAAGAGGUCGGUUCGGGUUGCAACGCGUAUGAAGUGGUCGGGUUUGAAGAAAUCACUUUUUAUACUCAUGACGUUUUCUCUGAACCUGUUGAUCCGAAUGAGGUUGUAUCGACAUCUUAUGUAUCCAUCCGAAUCAAUCAUUUUCGAGUAAAAAUGGAGUUGCAGGAAGCGAUUUGCUUCCAGUUUUCGUCGCUUUUGUUAUCGAUCUCACUAUAAGUCUGGAUCUGACUGAAGAUAUGUGUUUAAAGCUUAUUUGUUGCUUGUUUAGCUCUUGAAGAUAUUACAUUCUAUCGCCUGCUUCAAACUGUUCCGACUGAUGUACUGGAAAAGGGAAAGGCUAUAGCUUCAAACUCUCAUAAGACAAAACAAUUUUUUUGUGAAUGUCUCAGAGCUUUGGAAGAACUUGACUAUUGCUACAUGCAUCAAGAAUUGAACCCCGAGCUUCGGUUAAGUCAAUAAAGUCAAAUAUCGGCAUAGCUGUUAAUGCGUUAAACAGCCUGCUUCAAACUGUUCCGACUGAUGUACUGGAAAAGGGAAAGGCUAUAGCUGAUGCAUACAACACUCCUGAAGAAGAUUAUCCACCAAAAAACUUAGAACCAAAGUUGAAGCAGCUGGAGUCGAUACUGUGAUGACGUCAACUGUAUGUUGGGAUCAAUAAUGGUCAGGAUCCAACUCUUGAUUCUCUUGUUAAGCUGACAAGCCUUUUGAUUAUUUAUGAUUUUACUUGUAGUUUACAUUUGUUUCAUGUAUUAAUCAAAUUGGCACUUUGUUUCAUGUAUUAAUCAAUGGUGAUGUUUGUGACAUUAUGUAUGA
Helianthus annuus (common sunflower) is the source of this 1466-nucleotide RNA transcript. RefSeq lists it as uncharacterized. The record is from RefSeq and is a predicted model, not a curated record. The transcript has 10 exons. NCBI's taxonomy places the organism in Eukaryota, Viridiplantae, Streptophyta, Magnoliopsida, Asterales, Asteraceae.